Molecule: long non-coding RNA, 1254 nt
Organism: Leopardus geoffroyi (Geoffroy's cat)
Lineage: Eukaryota; Metazoa; Chordata; Mammalia; Carnivora; Felidae
Exons: 3
Source: RefSeq, a predicted model, not a curated record
CACACCCCGUCUCCCAGGCCACAGCAUAGCAACCGAACAUGGCGGCUGCGCAGACGCCGCCACUCAGCGGCCAGGAGCGGCGGCGGCCGCAACUGGAGGCGAUCUCGCGAGAGGGGAGGCCAAAAACCCUCCCAGCUAGAGCCGACAGGAGAGGUUGCACCCGCGCGCGAGCGGGGGGACACGCAGGUGCGAAGGAGGCCGGACCUGGCAGAAGAACCACGUUGACAAUCCCUGGGAUCAAGAACUAUAUAGAAAAAUGUAAAACUUUAAAAAAUCCAAGACUUCCUCCUGCUUUCGCACUCUAAAGGUGUGUGGCCAAAAAGUUUGAGUGCCUCUGGUCUGCGGGAGAGUUAAGAAGUAAAUAAAACAGUACAAAUUCGUAGAAGUGCUUUCAUAGAUUAAACUCCAUGAGGGCAGGAACCAUGGCUCACCAUUAUUUCCUCACAGACCGGUCUGGUUUGGUAAUGUCUGGUCUAUAAUCAGCCCUCAGUUGUUAUUCUCCCAUAAAGGAAGGGAUGAGAUGGGCCCAGAAGGCUAGGGAAAUCAGUGAAAGGAGACCAGAUGACUAGACACAUUGUGCCUUAGGUUUUGCCUGGCUUCCACUGGGAGCGUGGACUGCAGGGACAAGAUUUGGAGAUGAAAUGAUCUGGUGGAGAAUUGAAGGCUGGGCAGAGCCUCGAGAGGGAAGCCUGAGGGACCUUGAGUGACAUCUAGUGGCUUCUGUGACCAAAUGGGAGGAACCAGCCUGAGGAAUCUCCAUUCAGGAGGAAUAUUAUUGGAUGUGCUGUAUGUAUAAAGAAGAAGAAGAAGGAGAAGAAAAAGAAGAAGAAGAGAAAAAAGAAGAGAAAGAAGAAGAGGAAGAAGGAGAAGAAGAAGAAGGAGAAAAGAAAAAGGAAAAGAUGGGCUCAUCCCCACAUAAUGUAUAAAUGUUCCUUUAUUUGUAGAUGAAUACUGCGUUUUAAUGGUCUAUACUCUUUUUUUUUAUGUGUUGGCUUUAUCCAUAGGAGCUUUAACAACAGAUUAGAAAAUCUUGAUUAAUCUUAAUGCCUUUGUAGCAUGCACCUGGCACAGCAUUUUUAGAUGUGCUGUUGACUGGCUGACAUGUCUUGGUCAUUCAUUCAACCUGUGGUCAUUGAUUGGUUACCACCCACAUUAAGGAUUCUCCUCCCUGGCCUCACAUUAGAAGCACUAAGGAAGUUUUUAAUAAAUACAGAGGAGUUGGGGCACCUGAGGCUCCACCGUUUAAGCGUCUGA